AACGCACAUUGCGCCCCUUGGUAUUCCGGGGGGCAUGCCUGUUCGAGCGUCAUUAUGACCAAUCCCGCAAAGGGGUCUUGGGGUCCGCGGUUCGCUGCGGCCCUUAAAAUCAGUGGCGGCGCCGCCGGUGCUCUCAGCGUAGUAAUACUUCCUCGCUCGGGAACCACGGUGGAUGCUCGCCAGCAACCCCAAUUUUCAAAGGUUGACCUCGGAUCAGGUAGGGAUACCCGCUGAACUUAA
Molecule: unclassified non-coding RNA, 240 nt
Filed under: uncultured fungus
Lineage: Eukaryota; Fungi
Description: partial contains 5.8S ribosomal RNA, internal transcribed spacer 2, and large subunit ribosomal RNA
Source: RNAcentral